GUGAAUGCAAGCUAGACAGCACGCUCUUCACAUGCUUCCAAAUCAUAAUAUGACUCACGAGGUCUGCAUGAUCAGCCUUCUGCUGGAACGAAAAUGAGGGCAUAGCCUCUCUAAGACUUAUCUGGAAUGAGGAACUCUCAACGCGGAAUUGACUCCAUCCUAAGGGAUGGCAGGCAAGCCUGUAGGGCAUUUUCUUGAUUAAUGACUGACGUGGGAGGACUUGGCUCACUGUGAGCAAUGCCGCCUCUGGACUGGCGGAAAGCAGGCUGGGCACGUCGGACAAGACAUAUAGUUCUGGCUUCACUCUAACACAGGCGAAUAUCUGCUUAUCCAGCACACUUGUUGAAGAGACUGUCUUUUCUCUGACCCGUGUUUUCCUCAUUUUUGUCAGAUGAUGUCAAUAUCCAAGGAAACCCUGAGAGCUGCAUCUAAAGGAUGAUAGAAGCUUUGUCAUCCCCGGUCCUUGGAUGAAUAAGAACUUUCCUCCACUAUCGACUUCAUCUCACGCAAAGCCUGGUGGAGUUCAUGUUGGGGAGAUGAAGCUAGCCAAGUCAUGACCUUAGCUAAGUCAAGUUUCCAGUAAACGGUAGAACCUAAAUAUGAGGUCAUUUGUUUUUGGCUCCCUCUGUAGUGAGCGAAGCUACAGGAACUACAUCCGUCCACAUGACUUGCUUGAAAAACAGAGGUACCCAAGGAAACGACGUUAGCUGUUUUUCUUUCUGUUGCUCCCUGUACUACCCAAGUACAGCCGAUUGUAUGUAUUGGGUUAGAUGACUAAUGUUGAGUUUCUACAAUUCAUAUUGAGCCGUAGAAUGAUAAUAAUGAAGCAAAAAAUUAUUUAUAUAAUAAUAAAAGCAUAGCUGGCCAUUCCCUGCUAUUCUGUGCUACUACUGGGUUAACAGUCUCAGACUGCAACCCUUCUCCCUGCCUCUGAAAGUCUUUCUUGGCUUGUCUUCACCACUUUAGGUAAACAUCAUGCCACUGGAUUGCAACAUCCAGCAUUUUUUGCUCAAAAGCCAUCUGUGGGCACGGUGGGCAUGCUUUAAGAAGGACUUGCCAAGCACGAUCGGUCUUCUUCAGGGUCCUCUGGCUGGCCUGGAAGAAAUGAAGACGUUCUAAAGUGCACCUCUCAAUCUGCCCAUCGGACUACUGAAAGAGUGCACCCCAAAGAAAUGGCAGUUUCACUGAGAUGCUCAUGCUGGGAUAAGGAAGAGAUACCAGUGGCAGGGUGGUGGUACUUGUCUCUUGAGGUUUCACACAGUUCUAACAACUUCUUCGACUGCCUUACAGGAGCAAGAUGGAAGCACGGUCAGUGGUAGGUGGGACCACACCUUGGCAGGAACCUCUUAGAGGUGCAUUUCUUUGGCGCUCUAUUGUGAAGGCACACACAGGUGUGAGCCUGUUGCACCUUGACUAAAGGGCAGAGAGUUUGAGCCUAUUUUUGCUCUUUCAAAGUUGUUGACAACAGGCAUGGCUGCAAACAAGCGAUACUGAUCUAGAGUGUGGUUAAUUAGUAUUUUGGGUAUAGAGGUGAUCUGCUCCACCUGGACCAAAGGUCAGAGAAUUCGAGACUAUUCUUUAUGCCAUGUUAAUGAAGUCUGUUGCUUCCUCCCUCCCCUUUUGGGGUGAAGUAUAUAAGCAUGUGGGGGAAAAUGUGGGGUUCAGUAUUCACUGUAUGCCCCUCCUGAUGCUGUCCUGUGUUUCUGUCUCUUAUUUCUCUCAUAUCUCUGUUCUUUUUGCUUAAUAAUUCUAAUCCUCACAUUCCUACCUUGGAACAUAGGAAUUUU
Long non-coding RNA from Alexandromys fortis (reed vole), 1787 nucleotides. RefSeq lists it as uncharacterized. The transcript has 4 exons. Lineage: Eukaryota; Metazoa; Chordata; Mammalia; Rodentia; Cricetidae. The record is from RefSeq and is a predicted model, not a curated record.